AGAGUUUGAUCCUGGCUCAGGAUGAACGCUGGCGGCGUGCCUAACACAUGCAAGUCGAACGAGGUAAAUAAGAUGAAGUUUUCGGAUGGAUUCUUAUUUACCGAGUGGCGGACGGGCGAGUAACGCGUGGGUAACCUGCCUCAUACAGGGGGAUAACGGUUAGAAAUGACUGCUAAUACCGCAUAAGCGCACAGUACCACAUGGUACAGUGUGAAAAACUCCGGUGGUAUGAGAUGGACCCGCGUCUGAUUAGCUAGUUGGUGAGGUAACGGCCCACCAAGGCGACGAUCAGUAGCCGACCUGAGAGGGUGACCGGCCACAUUGGGACUGAGACACGGGCCCAGACCUCCUACGGGAGGCA
Molecule: ribosomal RNA, 361 nt
Filed under: uncultured bacterium
Lineage: Bacteria
Description: bacterial SSU rRNA
Rfam family: Bacterial small subunit ribosomal RNA
Source: RNAcentral